UGUAUGUAACCAUAAUGUAACCAGGUAUAACAGACCCAUUAAUAUUAUAAUUGAGUUCACUAAAAAGAAAAAAAAAAGAGAGAGACUGUUUAUUUUCUGUAUUUUUAAUUGUUCAUAUCAGCGGAUUUUUUUAGUUCUCUUAUCGCAAUUGUAUGCAUCACACAGUUUACGUAUUCCCACGUGGGUGUAGGUAGCCUCAGCAGCCAAUCAGAGGUUACGCAAGUCCCGUUCAGCGUGUCGACACAGAGGCGAGGCGCGGGUGCAGCUUCUUCCGGUUUUUUCUAAAAUCAUAGCGAGAGAGACGGGGGUAGCUGUGUGUUAGCAAGGAGUCAAAACCAGGACAAAAUUUUGGAGGUUUGUCUAAAAGGAAAAAGAGUCGGAGCACACUUCACCGAAGAUCCGGAGUCGUGUUAUAGAACGAAGUUACGUCGGCUAACCACUUGCCCUUUUGUCUGGGAAGUUGCCACGAGGUCCAUCAUCGUCGUGUUACACCUUGAUAUACCCGGAGCAACGGUCAGGUUUUUUUUGUAGGACGGAUGUUGUCCAGAACCAACAUCUCCAGUUAUUUCGAUGGCGAGCCAAGUCCACUGAGGAAAGUCCAGCACCGAUUUCCCCAUCCCCCUGCACAUAAUACUUACCUUACAAGUAUCUUUGGAACAAGGUGAACUGUACAACCUCUACAGCAAAUACACCGGAAACUAUUUUUUUAUUUUUGUUUAAGGGCCCAACGGACAUUCUUUUAUUUUCUAGUGUGCACACUACUACUUUUAUUUUUGUAACUUUUGGGGUUUAUUUCACAUUUUGUACAAACAGGUCAAGUGUAAACAAUAUAAGAGUGGCUACUCAAUUGUA
Molecule: long non-coding RNA, 852 nt
Organism: Puntigrus tetrazona (Sumatra barb)
Lineage: Eukaryota; Metazoa; Chordata; Actinopteri; Cypriniformes; Cyprinidae
Exons: 2
Source: RefSeq, a predicted model, not a curated record